CAGUCGGCCGCGGUAAUACGGAGGGUGCAAGCGUUAAUCGGAAUUACUGGGCGUAAAGCGCACGCAGGCGGUCUGUCAAGUCAGAUGUGAAAUCCCCGGGCUUAACCUGGGAACUGCAUUUGAAACUGGCAGGCUAGAGUCUUGUAGAGGGGGGUAGAAUUCCAGGUGUAGCGGUGAAAUGCGUAGAGAUCUGGAGGAAUACCGGUGGCGAAGGCGGCCCCCUGGACAAAGACUGACGCUCAGGUGCGAAAGCGUGGGGAGCAAACAGGAUUAGAUACCCGCGUAGUCCCUGUCUCUUAUU
RNAcentral lists this ribosomal RNA (301 nucleotides) under uncultured bacterium. Its description in RNAcentral is "partial 16S ribosomal RNA". It matches the Rfam family "Bacterial small subunit ribosomal RNA", at positions 509 to 808 of the family's 1533-position model. The record is from RNAcentral.